CCGUGCAGCCGGGGAGAUAGCGGUGCCCUGUACCUGCAAUCCGCUAUAGCAGGGGUGAUGUUUUGCCUAGGGUGACUUACUGUAGGGCUGCCCUCUAUAAGUGAUGUUGACGUUUGGGUCUUGCGCAACAGAAAUUCGUGAACCGUGUCAGGUCAGGAAUGGAGCAGCACUAAGCGAAAGCUUCUGU
RNAcentral lists this signal recognition particle RNA (187 nucleotides) under Clostridiales bacterium. RNAcentral's name for it is "partial signal recognition particle sRNA large type". It matches the Rfam family "Bacterial large signal recognition particle RNA", at positions 1 to 187 of the family's 256-position model. From Rfam's summary of the family: The signal recognition particle (SRP) is a universally conserved ribonucleoprotein involved in the co-translational targeting of proteins to membranes. Lineage: Bacteria; Bacillati; Bacillota; Clostridia; Eubacteriales. The record is from RNAcentral.